Molecule: long non-coding RNA, 356 nt
Organism: Haemorhous mexicanus (house finch)
Lineage: Eukaryota; Metazoa; Chordata; Aves; Passeriformes; Fringillidae
Exons: 2
Source: RefSeq, a predicted model, not a curated record
GGCUGUUUUCCUUGCAUUCUUCAGAGCAGCUUCUCACAGCCUCAAAAUGUCCUUGCUGCUUCGAGAUGUGUCACAGGUGGAGUCACCCUUCACCCUUGCUCCAAUCCCAGCCCCCCUCAUGCGUGUGACGUCUCUCUCAGAUUCUCCUUCUGCUGAAGCUUCCUGGUGCUGGACUCGAUGAUCCUGGUGGAUCCUUUCCAAUUUGGGAUGCUCCAUGACUCCACCAUUUGCUCUGCUCAGCCCUGUGGAACAAACAUGCCCAAGCCACAAUAGUGAAGGGAGGAAAUGAGCAGUUUCAGCUCUCUCCUGUUGGAGUUUGACCUGCAGUACUUGGAAAAAAAAAAAAAAAGAAAACA